GUGGAGCAUGUGGCUUAAUUUGACUCAACGCGGGGAAUCUUACUAGGUCAGGACCGAUUCAUGAUUGUCACCGAUAGUGUCGCCGGUACAAGAUUGUUGGAUGAGUGGUGCAUGGCCGUUCUUAGUUCGUGGUGUGAUUCGUCGCAUUAAUUUGUUUCGAAUCAAUUGUUGUUGAUCGUAGCAACGAACGAGACCGUGAUUUGUUGCGAGCAGGCGCAACUUAACUACAGAGACAGGGUAAUCUACUACUACACACCAGGAAGGACACGGCAAUAACAGGUCUGUGAUGCCCUCAGAUGUUCUAGGCCGCACACGUGCUACAAUUGACUCGUUAGUUGUAGUGCGUGUGUGUUGUGAGAUCCCCCGCGUAGAGUCAAGUUGAGUCGCUAGUUGAGAUUACCGGUUGUAACUAUUCGGUACCGCAACUAGGAAUGCCUCGUACGGUGGGAUCAACGAGUUCCAUUGGAAUCCGUCCCUGCCCUUUGUACACACCGCCCGUCGCUCUUACCGAUGGCGGUGGUUUCGAAUGUUACCGAGCGACGUAGGUUUAAUAUACUCGCGGCGCAACGUAAUGUAAGAAACCACCGCUAAAGGAAAGAGAAGUCGUAACAAGGCAUCG
This 619-nucleotide ribosomal RNA is filed under the name Amphistegina lessonii. RNAcentral's name for it is "SSU rRNA". It matches the Rfam family "Eukaryotic small subunit ribosomal RNA", at positions 1176 to 1804 of the family's 1831-position model. Lineage: Eukaryota; Foraminifera; Rotaliida; Amphisteginidae. The record is from RNAcentral.